UCGGGAAUUUUGGGCAAUGGGCGAAAGCCUGACCCAGCAACGCCGCGUGAAGGAUGAAGUAUUUCGGUAUGUAAACUUCGUAAGAAUAGGAAGAAUAAAUGACGGUACUAUUUGUAAGGUCCGGCUAACUACGUGCCAGCAGCCGCGGUAAUACGUAGGGACCAAGCGUUGUUCGGAUUUACUGGGCGUAAAGGGCGCGUAGGCGGUGUGUCAAGUCAGUUGUGAAAUCUCCGAGCUUAACUCGGAACGGUCAACUGAUACUGUCACACUAGAGUACAGAAGGGGCAAUCGGAAUUCUUGGUGUAGCGGUGAAAUGCGUAGAUAUCAAGAGGAACACCGAUGGCGAAGGCAGGUUACUGGGCAGUUACUGACGCUGAGGAUCGAAAGCAUGGGUAGCGAACAGGAUUAGAUACCCUUGUAGUCCCUGAGCGGGCUGGCAAGGCGCAU
This 447-nucleotide ribosomal RNA is filed under the name uncultured bacterium. RNAcentral describes it as "bacterial SSU rRNA". It matches the Rfam family "Bacterial small subunit ribosomal RNA", at positions 355 to 825 of the family's 1533-position model. The record is from RNAcentral.